ACGAAUAUUCAAAAAUUAAAGGAGGUCUAACUACCAAUUAUGAAGGUAUGAAUGAUGAAAGUAUGAAUAGAACCUCUUUAUUUGUAAAGAAAAGAAAAUUGUAAAUAGAAUUUAAAGCAUUAAAAUACAUAUUAAUAAGGUAGAAAAUUUUUAACAUGAUUUUUAUUUAUUUGAUCGAUUAUUUUAAUUGUAUAAAUUUGUAUUUUAUUUCAUUAAUAUCGAAGAAUAUUUAAGAGAAAAAAAAUCAAUUUAUGAUACCUUUUAUUAAGGGAAAUUCCCAUCUGCCCUAAUUUUAAGGAAUUUUUUCCACUAACAAAAUAAGAAUCUAAAAUUCCCACUAACCAUAACAUUCCCGGCCUAGUGAUUUAUUCCCUCUAACAAAAUUUUGACUUUUUCUAUUAUUUUUGUGGACAAAACUGUCCUUCCCUCUUCUCAUUCUCUCAUCUAUCUCUCUCCAUCCAAAUUCUAUCGGAUCUAAUCUCUCUCUCUCUCUCUCUCUCUCUCUCUCUCUCUCUCUCUCUCUCUCCGGAGAUCAGCUACACCUCCGGUAAGUCAUCAAUUCCGCCUCUCUAAUUUCCUACUAAUCGCCAUCGCCAUUGCUGCUCCAAUUCCUAAUUCGUUCAUUGUCUCGUUCUUUCAUCUCGAUCCAAAUCAGUCAGCAAAUCUCGAUCUCCACGAAAGACGACGACGAUGACUUUGCUUCUUCAUUGCUUUGCGAUAUCGUUCGGUCAACAAGUCUCGAUCUCGUUCGUUCCCUCCACAGAUCAGAUCUAAAACAAACACAGACAACACAGGAGAGAGAGAGAGAGAGAGAGAGAGAGCCACAAGGAUAGUUUUAAGCGGUGGAGGAGAAGCUUGUACAGAGGCUUAAGUCAGCGGUCACGCGCCUCGAGGCAGUGUCCUUCUCCGGAGGCUCUGCUGCGGCAGCGGCGAGUGGUGACAAUGCGCCGCUGGAUUUGAUUUACAAAUGUAUGUAAUAGAAAACUUUGAUGCUUCUAUGUGUUUCUACUUAGUUUUGUUCUUGAGAGUAUUGGCCUCAUUUAUAAUUUUUGGCCUCAUUUAUAAUUUUUACAAGAGAUUUCUAUAACAAGAAAAACACAGCUACAUACCUAAAUGCAUCCAAUACAAUAGUAUGUGUUUAACAGCUAAUGUAAAGCACUCUUCACUCAAAAUUGUAGAUUAUCUCGGGAUCAUUCUAUUCUUAUGGCUUUUUGGUUAAACUAUUUCAUGCUUGACUUUGUAGAUUCAUUGUUGUUCAGACACUAUAUCUUGUAAAGUUGUAAUAUAUAUAUAUAUAUAGACACACACAUAUAUGAACAAUUUUAGUUGUUGUCCUCUGCAGGUGGCCAAAUGGGGAAGGAUGAGUAUGUGUGAUACUGAGAGGAGACUUCUUGCUAAUGCAUUGCAACAUGUAUCUAAUGAAUGGUUCAUUAUUCUUUUAGAAUCAUGCAUUCCUCAUUAUAACUUCACUGUUGUUUAGUCCGUAUCGUUAGAAUGAAUGAGAAUAACGAGGCUGAAACAAUAUUGUAAUUAAACUGUAAUUAGCAUUAAAUUGAUGAAAUUAAUGUCAUUUAUCAAGGGUCCUACUAACCCCAAUAGGUGGUCAUACUGCCUCGCCUCCAAUAGGGACCUGCUAUAAGUGACUGAAGUACACAGUUAAGUUCAAGGGUCAUACUGCCCCCAAUAGGAGGUCCUACUGACCUCAAUAGAAGGUCAUACUGCCCCCAAUAGGAGGUCUUACUGACCUCAAUAGAAGGUCAUACUGACCCCAAUAGGGACAUGUUAUAAGUGACAAAAGCACAGGGUCAUACUAACCCCAAUAGGAACCUGUUAUAAGUGAUUGAAACACACUGUUAAGUUCAAGGGUCAUACUACCCUCAAUAAGAGGUCCUACUGACCCCAAUAGGAGGUCCUACUGACCCCAAUAGGUGGUCCUACUGACCCCAAUAGGAGGUCAAUGGUCGCCGGUGUCCGGUGUCCGGUCAACGAUCGUCUGUGUCCGGUCAACGGUCACCAGAGUCCAGUCAACGUCGUCGGAUCCCGGUCAACGGUCGCCAGAGUCACGGUCAACGGUCAUUGGUUGCAAAAAUCCGGUCAUAGAUAUUAUUUCAAAAUAAACUUUAUAUUGUUCUUAUAAUGGUUUAUUGUAGUUUAUUUAAAUCAUUAAAGGUAUAAUUGUCUUUUUCUUGUUUAAAUUGGCUCAUGGGAAUUUUAAAAUCUGAUUUUGUUUGUGGAAGUAAAAUUCUUAAAAUUAAGGUUAAUGGGCAUUGUCCUUUUUAUUAAUAAUUAAUAUUCAUUAAGACUAAUUAUACAUUUUUAAAAUAUGAGAGGGUUCUCGCCCCCAGCUAGCUAGCUACGCCUGAGACAGAUAAUCUCUUUAACACCGUUUCAAUAAAGUUCAUGCUCAGAAGUUAUUGGCCUGUGAUCCUUACACGUAGUCUCUGAUCUUC
This 2450-nucleotide long non-coding RNA is filed under the name Fragaria vesca (wild strawberry). RNAcentral's name for it is "long non-coding RNA (FVES_LNC002213)". Lineage: Eukaryota; Viridiplantae; Streptophyta; Magnoliopsida; Rosales; Rosaceae. The record is from RNAcentral.